RNAcentral lists this ribosomal RNA (440 nucleotides) under uncultured bacterium. RNAcentral describes it as "partial 16S ribosomal RNA". It matches the Rfam family "Bacterial small subunit ribosomal RNA", at positions 338 to 795 of the family's 1533-position model. The record is from RNAcentral.
CCUACGGGAGGCAGCAGUGGGGAAUAUUGCACAAUGGGGGAAACCCUGAUGCAGCGACGCCGCGUGAGUGAAGAAGUAUUUCGGUACGUAAAGCUCUAUCAGCAGGGAAGAAAAUGACGGUACCUGACUAAGAAGCCCCGGCUCACUACGUGCCAGCAGCCGCGGUAAUACGUAGGGGGCAAGCGUUAUCCGGAUUUACUGGGUGUAAAGGGAGCGUAGGCGGCAGCGCAAGGCUGAAGGGAAAUCCCAGGGCUUAACCAUGGAACUGCUUUGGAAACUGUGCAGCUGGAGUGCAGGAGAGGUAAGCGGAAUUCGUGGUGUAGCGGUGAAAUGCAUAGAUAUUAGGAGGAACACCGGUGGCGAAGGCAGCUUACUGGAGUGUAACUGACGUUGAGGCUCGAAAGCGUGGGGAGCGAACAGGAUUAGAUAUCCUUGUAGUC